Long non-coding RNA from Myxocyprinus asiaticus (Chinese sucker), 256 nucleotides. RefSeq lists it as uncharacterized. Lineage: Eukaryota; Metazoa; Chordata; Actinopteri; Cypriniformes; Catostomidae. The record is from RefSeq and is a predicted model, not a curated record. The transcript has 2 exons.
GAAUAUCUGACAUAUCUCCCCAACUCUGACCUUGAGGGAGACAAUAAAAGGGGACCUGGCCACUUGUUUCGAGGCUAACCCGUUUAGACAUUACCGAGAGCAUCUACAACAUUACAGGAGUUUUGAGUGCAGGUUCGGGACCCAAAGCUUUAAUAAUGUCCCGCUAUAUGGAACUGAGGGAAUUCGGCGAUGCGGCCACAUUCCUGCGUAAAACCAAUCUGGAACAGCUCGCUGCCCAGGCCCACGCGUUUGACGG